GAGGGUGUAGCUCAAAUGGUAGAGCACAUGCUUAGCAUGCACGAGGUCCUGGGUUCAAUCCCCAGUACCUCCA
This 73-nucleotide transfer RNA is filed under the name Camelus bactrianus (Bactrian camel). It matches the Rfam family "tRNA". From Rfam's summary of the family: Transfer RNA (tRNA) molecules are approximately 80 nucleotides in length. Their secondary structure includes four short double-helical elements and three loops (D, anti-codon, and T loops). Further hydrogen bonds mediate the characteristic L-shaped molecular structure. tRNAs have two regions of fundamental functional importance: the anti-codon, which is responsible for specific mRNA codon recognition, and the 3' end, to which the tRNAs corresponding amino acid is attached (by aminoacyl-tRNA synthetases). tRNAs cope with the degeneracy of the genetic code in two manners: having more than one tRNA (with a specific anti-codon) for a particular amino acid; and 'wobble' base-pairing, i.e. permitting non-standard base-pairing at the 3rd anti-codon position. RNAcentral also lists the same sequence under 2 other names. The record is from Rfam by way of RNAcentral. Lineage: Eukaryota; Metazoa; Chordata; Mammalia; Artiodactyla; Camelidae.